RNAcentral lists this ribosomal RNA (445 nucleotides) under uncultured bacterium. Its description in RNAcentral is "partial 16S ribosomal RNA". It matches the Rfam family "Bacterial small subunit ribosomal RNA", at positions 354 to 796 of the family's 1533-position model. The record is from RNAcentral.
GUGAGGAAUAUUGCGCAAUGGAGGCAACUCUGACGCAGCCAUGCCGCGUGCAGGAAGAAGGCGCUACGCGUUGUAAACUGCUUUUAACCGGGAAGAAACCCCAGGACGUGUCCUGGGUUGACGGUACCGGAGGAAUAAGCACCGGCUAACUUCGUGCCAGCAGCCGCGGUAAUACGAAGGGUGCAAGCGUUAUCCGGAUUCAUUGGGUUUAAAGGGUGCGUAGGCGGAGCGUUAAGUCAGUGGUGAAAUCCUGCAGCUUAACUGUAGACUUGCCAUUGAUACUGGCGCUCUUGAGUGCGCUUGAAGUGGGCGGAAUGUGCCGUGUAGCGGUGAAAUGCUUAGAUAUGGCACAGAACACCAAUUGCGAAGGCAGCUCACUAAGGCGAUACUGACGCUGAGGUGCGAAAGCGUGGGGAGCAAACAGGAUUAGAUACCCUAGUAGUCC